GCUACAGGUGUGACCCUAAAAAGAAAAAAAAAGAGAGAGAGAGAAUGCCUUCUAGCACAAGGCAUUUUAUAAAUUCUUUUUUUUUUUUUUUUUUGGUCUCUUUCUAAGGCUACAUUUUAUUUCAAGGAAUAAGAUGGUUCCUAAGACUGAAACUUGUACAAUAAUCCAUUCUAUUUUAAUUUCCAGAUUACCAUUAUUAAGGCUGAAGUCUGCAAAUAUGGUCACUACCUUUAGUUUACCAAUCUGUCUAAACUCCACAGUUCUCUGGUCCAUGGACUCCUGGAGAUUUUCAAGACCCUUUUAGGGGUCUAUGAGGCCAAAAGUAUUUUUCACAGCGGUAGUAAGGCAUAUUACAUGCCUUUUAAACUUUCAUUUUCUCACAAGUAUAGUUUUCCAGAGGCUACAUACUGUGUGGAGAUACUAUAAAAUGAAAUGUAUCACUUUGGGAAACUCAACAUAAUUCAGUGAACCAACAUUUUCCAAAUGACCAAUGCAUGAUGUUACCAAAUGAGUUAUGGAUAAAGAUUCAUUCAAAAUGCAACAGAUCAAAUGGCCAAAAAGCAUAUGAAAAGAUGCUCAACAUCAUCGUUGAAUGCAAAUCAAAACUACAAUGAGGUAUCUCACCUCACACCAGUCAUAAAAAGUCUACAAACAAGAAAUGCUGAACAAGGUGUGAAAAAAAGGUAACCCUCCUACAUUGUUGGUAGGAAUGCAAGCUGGGGCAACCAAUAUGGAGAACAGUAUGGAGGUUCCUUAAAAAUCUAAACACAGGAAUUGCCGCUAUGGUGCAGUGGGUCAAGAAUCUGACUGCAGUGGCUCAGGUUGCUGUGAAGGGUCAGGUUUAAUCUCCAGUCCGAGGCAGUGGGUUAAAGGAUUCUAGUUGCCGCACCUGCUGCAUAGGUCCAGCUUCAGCUUGGAUUCAAUCCCUGGCCUGGAAACUUCCACAUGCCACAGGUGCAGCCAUAAAAAUAAACAAACCAAAAAUCAACCAUAUGAUAUCAGCAAUCCCACUCCUGGGCAUAUAUCCUGAAAAAACUGUAUUCUGAAAAGACACAUGCACCCCAAUGUUCACUGCAACACUAUUUACAACAACCAAGACAUGGAAGCAACCUAAAUGUCCAUCGAAAGAGGAAUGGACAAAGAAGAUGUGGUACAUAUACACAAUGCAAUAUUACUCGGCCAUAAAAAGGAAAGAAAUAAUGGCCAUUUGUUAGCAACAUGAAUAGGCCUAGAAGUUAUCAUACUAACUAAAGUAAUAAGUCAGACAAAUACAAAUAUCACGAGAUCACUAAUAUGUGGAAUCUAAUUUAAAAAUAAUAAAAAAGACCUUACAAAAGAGAAACAGACUCAAAGAUUUUGAAACCAAACUUAGGGUUACCAAAGGGGAAACGUGGGGGGAGGCAUAAAUUAGGAGGUUGAGGUUAACAUACACAUACUACUGGAGUUCCCGUCGUGGCUCAGUGGGUAACAAAUCCAACUAGGAACCAUGAGGUUGCGGGUUUGAUCCCUGGCCUUGCUCAGUGGGUUAAGGAUCCGGCGUUGCCAUGAACUGUGGUGUCAGUCACAGACGCGGCUUGGAUCCCUCGUUGCUAAUGGCUCUGGCGUAGGCCAGCUGCUACAGCACCUAUUCGACCCCUAGCCUGGGAACCUCCAUAUGCAGUGGGAGCGGCCCCAGAAAAGGCAAAAAGACAAAAAAAAAAAAAUAUAUAUAUAUAUAUACACACUACUAUAAAUAAAACAGAUAAGUAACAAGCACCUACUAUAUAGCACAGGGAAAUCUACUCAAUACUGUGUAAUAACCUAUAUGGGAAAAUAAUGUGUAAAGGAACGGAUAAAUGUUUAACUGAUUUACACAACUUUGAAAUAAUCAACGAUACUCCAGGAUUUCCGUCGUGGCUCAAAAGGUUAAGAAUCUGACUGUCAUCCAUGAGGAUUUGGGUUUGAUCCCUGGCCUCACUCAGUGGGUUAAAGAAUUUGGUGAUGCCAUAAGCUGUGAUGUAGGUCAUAAACACGGCUUGGAUCUGGUAUGGCUGUGACUGUGGUGUAUGCCAGCAAGUGCCACUCCGAUUCGACCCCUAGCCUGGGAACUUCAUGUGCCACAGGUGCAGCCCUAAAAAGGCAAAAACAAAACAAAACAACUAAAAUAAAAUUUUUUUUAAAUGCAACAGAUCAAUGAAUUUUAAUGUGACAUAAUAUGAAAAGCUCACUGAUCAAGUUUCAGACUCCAUUAAGAAACUACCAUUUGUCAUAUUUUGGCAUAACAGCAAAAAAGACGACCCAAAAUUAUCUCAAAAGGCUAUUAAAAUACUCCUUGCCCCUUUUCCAACUUCAAAUCUGGUGACAACAGAUUCAACCAGAACAACAUACUACAAAAAACUAAAUGCAAAAGCAGCUAUCAGAACCCAUCGUUCUUCUAUUAAGC
Molecule: long non-coding RNA, 2422 nt
Filed under: Sus scrofa (pig)
Lineage: Eukaryota; Metazoa; Chordata; Mammalia; Artiodactyla; Suidae
Description: lncRNA (ENSSSCG00005035074.1)
Source: RNAcentral